AUAUCCUCAACCAUAGCUUCUCCAGUUGAGAUGGACUGUUCAGUUUGAGGAGUCAGAUUUCCAUUUCGCAGUUUGUCAGUGGAUUCGGCAACUGAAUCCUGAUUUUUAUCAUCAGAACAUGAGUGGGAUAUAAGAAACUGAGAACCAAGUGAAUCGUCAGACUUUGAUAACUGAUUGAGCAGCUCUGCCUGCUCCCAGGGAACUCUUUCAGAAUAAUCU
RNAcentral lists this long non-coding RNA (219 nucleotides) under Vitis vinifera (wine grape). RNAcentral's name for it is "long non-coding RNA (VVIN_LNC001445)". The record is from RNAcentral. Lineage: Eukaryota; Viridiplantae; Streptophyta; Magnoliopsida; Vitales; Vitaceae.